GACGAACGCUGGCGGCGUGCUUAACACAUGCAAGUCGAACGGUAAGGCCCUUCGGGGUACACGAGUGGCGAACGGGUGAGUAACACGUGGGUGAUCUGCCCUGCACUUCGGGAUAAGCCUGGGAAACUGGGUCUAAUACCGGAUAGGACCAUGCGCUUCACGGCGUGUGGUGGAAAGCUUUUGCGCUAUGAGAUGGGCCCGCGGCGCAUUAGCUAGUUGGUGAGGUAACGGAUCACCAAGGCGACGAUGCGUAGCCGACCUGAGAGGGUGAUCGGCCACAUUGGGACUGAGACACGGCCCAGACUCCUACGGGAGGCAGCAGUGGGGAAUAUUGGACAAUGGGGGCAACCCUGAUCCAGCCAUGCCGCGUGAGUGAUGAAGGCCUUAGGGUUGUAAAGCUCUUUUACCCGGGUCGAUAAUGACUGUACCGGGAGAAUAAGCCCCGGCUAACUUCGUGCCAGCAGCCGCAGUAA
Molecule: ribosomal RNA, 473 nt
Filed under: uncultured bacterium
Lineage: Bacteria
Description: partial 16S ribosomal RNA
Rfam family: Bacterial small subunit ribosomal RNA
Source: RNAcentral